Molecule: ribosomal RNA, 574 nt
Filed under: Vishniacozyma victoriae
Lineage: Eukaryota; Fungi; Basidiomycota; Tremellomycetes; Tremellales; Bulleribasidiaceae
Description: eukaryotic LSU rRNA
Rfam family: Eukaryotic large subunit ribosomal RNA
Source: RNAcentral
AGUGAACCGGGAUGAGCUCAAAUUUAAAAUCUGGCGUCUUUCAGGCGUCCGAGUUGUAAUCUAUAGAGGCGUUUUCCGCGCCGGACCGCGUCCAAGUCUCUUGGAAUAGAGUAUCAAAGAGGGUGACAAUCCCGUACUUGACGCGACAACCGGUGCUCUGUGAUACGUUCUCAAUGAGUCGAGUUGUUUGGGAAUGCAGCUCUAAAUGGGUGGUAAAUUCCAUCUAAGGCUAAAUAUUGGCGAGAGACCGAUAGCGAACAAGUACCGUGAGGGAAAGAUGAAAAGCACUUUGGAAAGAGAGUUAAACAGCACGUGAAAUUGUUAAAAGGGAAACGAUUGAAGUCAGUCGUGUGAAAGGUAUUCAGCCGUCUCUGGCGGUGUAUUUGCCUUUCACGGGUCAACAUCAGUUUGAUCCGGUAGAAAAAGGCGGGAGGAAGGUGGCACCCUCGGGUGUGUUAUAGCCUCCUGUCAUAUGUGCCGGACCAGACUGAGGAACGCAGCUUGCCGCAAGGCCGGGGUUCGCCCACGUACAAGCUUAGGAUGUUGACAUAAUGGCUUUAAACGACCCGUCUUG